Molecule: small nucleolar RNA, 107 nt
Organism: Medicago truncatula (barrel medic)
Lineage: Eukaryota; Viridiplantae; Streptophyta; Magnoliopsida; Fabales; Fabaceae
Source: RefSeq, a predicted model, not a curated record
AAACCAUGAUGGGGGUAAAGCCUAAGCAUUUCUUUGAAACGCUCCCACGCAUUGUAAAGAGAUUCACCAUCUUUUUGAGUUAAUUGUGUGAUGUGACUCCUUAAUUG